UUGUUUUAAAAUAGUUGUUGUCCCAGGUCUCUUGCCCUGCUGGUGGAACCUUGCUUCUCCUGUUAAGAGCACAAGGGAUGGCGCUGGGGAUUUAGCUCAGUGGUAGAGCGCUUGCCUAGUAAGCGCAAGGCCCUGGGUUCGGUUCUCAGCUCUGGAAAAAAAAAAGCACAAGGGACUUAAUGCCAGACCAGCGGCUGUGACCCUACCCCUGAGGCAUGAUCUGUCCUUAGAGGCAUGCUCUCUGAUGUGGAGAUGGACCUUGUGGCCAGUUGCAAGUCGGGCUUGUCUCCGUUAGUGAUGGGAAUGGCGCCUAAUUGGGGGCCAAUCUUCAUGAAUAAACUUUAGCAGAAAUUUCCUCAGCCACCAUAAAUGGUAUAAAUUUUCUUUCUCACAGUUUCUAAUGAGCCUGGUUAUGUGAGGUUCGAAUUGGACCUCUACUGGGACCCCUUGAAUGAGACUCACAGAAGCAGUGAUCAUUGCAAAAACAAGAGGAGUUUUAUUGUCCCAGUGCAUAAGGGCUGCCCUGCUUCAAGAAAGAAACUGCCCUGAGCAGACUCUAACAGGGAAUUAUAUACAUUUGAUAUGGGCGGAAUUGAAACAAUUAGGGCAGAAUUCAAACAAUAGUAACUGGGCAGGGUGCUAAUGGUGGAGUGAAGCGACCUUCAAACUGACUCGUGGUCAGUGGCUGGGUCAGGACUUUCCAAGGAGUGUCGCUUGGGAGUCACAGGUGGCUUGUAGCUGUUCCAGGAACUAAAUAAAACUACCUCUAUCCUUCCUGGAAGGGAGGGCUCUUUGUGCUUGGAUAUUUGUGGUGGAAUUUUCCUACUGGCCUUAGACUGACCCCAACUCUGGAUCUUUCAGUUAGUGUGCCACUUAUUUCUGCCAAAGUGCAGGUGGGGCUCCCUAGCCAAAUUCUGUUUUCUCUAACUUAUUUCCUAAGCAAGUUUAUCAGCAAAUCCUUUAGUAGCACCCAAUUUACCACUUCAAGUCUCUCUUCCAUCAUUACUGGGAAACUGUGAUCAGCCACACGGGAACACCCAAGACACCUCCCAGUCCCACUGAGCCCUCGGGGGGAGGGAGGGUCAUGCACCCUUUUAUAUCAGACUAAGGGGAUAACAUCAGAACAGCAAGGGACUUAUUUGGACAUUUUAAUAUAAUGCUGACACGGUUUUACAUGAGACAGCUACUGGCUUCCAUGGAGGAUCUAAAAGUUUCCAGGCCACCUGCCUCCAUCCCGGGCGAGCUAACCGGGAGAGCUUCAGAAAGAUCCAGGACCGUUAACCACCUCUAUUUGUUGUCAUUAUCACCUGUUAAUUUUAGCUUUAGUGUGAGCAAAAUGAACCAAGUUAUCAAUUGAGUUUACACGGACGUUUGCUAAGAAGCCAAUUUGGUACCGAUUACACAAUGUAAGAAAACCAAAAAUCCCAAAAUGCCAAGCCAUAGUUGCCUAACAGCCCUCACGCACGUAAUUAUAUGUAAGAUAUAUUGAAUAAACUCAGAUUUUUGAGCAUUACUGUUUUCUCAGAUUAUGUUUUUGAUAACCCUCAUUGUGAAGGAGGCUCUUAAAAGAAAACGUAUUGACAAGUGGGUCGGAAGCAGAAAACUUCUCUCAACAGAGAGUAAACUCAUUUGUAAAUGCUCUUGUGUUGCAUGGUAUUCAAGUUUCUUUUCUCUUUUCUCUCUCUUUUUUAAAAGAAUUAUUUAUUUUAGGUAUAUAAGUACACCGUGGCUGUCUUCAGACACACCAGAAGAGGGCACCAGAUCUCAUUACAGAUGGUUGUGAGCCACCAUGUGGUUGCUGGGAAUUGAACUCAGGACCUCUGGAAGAGCAGUCAGCGCUCUUAACCACUGAGCCAUCUCUCCAGCCCAGUAUUCAAGUUCCUUAAUGCUGAAAGGAUGUAGUGAUUAAAAUGGUCUAGUAUAGGAGGGUGUGGUCGUUUGAAUAUGCUUAGCUAAUAAGGAGCAGCACUGUUAGGAGGUGUGGCCUUGUUGAAGGAAGUGUGUCGGCAUGGGCGUGGCCCUGGAGGUCUCCUCCUACGCUCAGGCUCCACCCACUGCAGAAGAGUUAGUCUCCUUGUGGAUGCAAGAUGCAGAACUCGCAGCUUCUUCUCCAGCACCGUGCCUGCUGGGACACUGCCAAGCUUCUCACCAUGACGAUAAUGGACUGAACCUCUGCAACUGGAGGCUAGCCAUGGAGACCACACCCCAUGGAUUUCAGCCAGCACCCAGUCUACAAAGAGGAGGUCAGCACACUGAAAGUAUUUCCUCAGAGUUCAUAGGAGACGCAAUACCCAGGCCAAGCAGGCUUGACUUAUCCUCACCGACCGACAACUGGUAAAGGCUCCAGGAGCCUGAGAUUCUCACAAGACUAGUGACCCCCUGAGGACCGGAUGGCUCCUCCAUCAGGAACCAAACAAGUAUUAAUGGUGGCUACUCAGAUGAUGUUAAACACAGAGCAGGAAAGUCUGACCCACAUAGAAAUGGCCAGCGUGUGUCCUUGACGGGUCAAGGCCCCGAAGUCCUCCAAUAUUGUAAUUAACCCUAUGAAAGCCAUUUGGACAGAA
This is a non-coding RNA of Rattus norvegicus (Norway rat), 2564 nucleotides long. The record is from RefSeq and is a predicted model, not a curated record. Lineage: Eukaryota; Metazoa; Chordata; Mammalia; Rodentia; Muridae.